Molecule: non-coding RNA, 635 nt
Filed under: unclassified sequences
Description: ROOL RNA
Rfam family: ROOL RNA
About the family: Firmicutes, Fusobacteria (1 example), Tenericutes (1 example).
Source: Rfam by way of RNAcentral
GAGUUCCUCCAAGCCAUUCUGCAACUCAGUGCCAAAGCGGGAUGAAAACCGUUCUGAGAGGCGUCGGCUUUCGGCAGUGGAAGCUGCCGGAACGUCCGCAUUGGGGAAAAGCGCCGGGGAUACCCUGCGUCAGUGCCCUGUGAAACCGGUGCGAACCGGCGACGGAAUGUUGAGAGACAGAAAAUGCAGUGCUGUGCCGGAGGAACGCGAACCAAGGCGCAGUUUCUGCCGCCGGCAAACAGACGCCCUCCCGGAAGGAGGGAAUAACCCGGAAUGCCGCAGGGUGGUGCCUGCAGGAGAGCGAUCGGGAUCAUGAGCGCCCGAUCCUUUACGGGAAGACCCUGCGCCGGUUUCCAGUGAAGCCCCGAAAGGGGUGUAUAAGACGGAACACUGGCCCAUGUAGCGGAAUGGAGAAAGUCUCAUCUUCCAGCUUGCGACAUCUGAUCAACCAUCGCUUAUUGCCGGAAGAUCCGUGAAUGGCAGAGGUAACCAGUCCUCUUUGGGAACAGCGGUGAAAACCGCAGGAUACGCGGACGGGAGUCGCUGCCCGUCAACCGGCCGUAUUCUCCCAGUGGCUGAACAGGUUCGAAGUUCCGGUCGGUACCGUGAAAGCGGGCAGGAUGGUUUGGAGGAAC